RNAcentral lists this ribosomal RNA (279 nucleotides) under uncultured archaeon. RNAcentral's name for it is "partial 16S rRNA". It matches the Rfam family "Archaeal small subunit ribosomal RNA", at positions 1047 to 1325 of the family's 1478-position model. The record is from RNAcentral.
GAGACCCGUACCCACAGUUGCCAGCGGCUGCUCAGGCAGGCUGGGUACACUGUGGGGACCGCCUCUGCUAAAGAGGAGGAAGGAGCGGGCGACGGUAGGUCAGUAUGCCCCGAAUUCUCCGGGCUACACGCGGGCUACAAUGGAUGGGACAAUGGGCUCCGACACCGAAAGGUGAAGGCAAUCUCUUAAACCCAUUCUUAGUUCGGAUUGGGGGCUGAAACUCGCCCUCAUGAAGCUGGAAUCCGUAGUAAUCGCGUUUCAAAAUAGCGCGGUGAAUAC